Molecule: ribosomal RNA, 328 nt
Filed under: uncultured eukaryote
Lineage: Eukaryota
Description: partial 18S ribosomal RNA
Rfam family: Eukaryotic small subunit ribosomal RNA
Source: RNAcentral
CCCUUAGAUGUUCUGGGCCGCACGCGCGCUACAAUGAUGAAUUCAACGAGUUUAUAACCUUGGUUGAAAAGCCUGGGUAAUCUUUUGAACUUUCGUCGUGAUGGGGCUAGACCCUUGCAAUUAUUGGUCUCCAACGAGGAAUUCCUAGUAAACGCAAGUCAUCAGCUUGCAUUGAAUACGUCCCUGCCCUUUGUACACACCGCCCGUCGCUCCUACCGAUUGAGUGGUCCGGUGAGGCUUUGGGAUCUGAGCGGAAAGAGCGUUUCGCUGUUUCUGCUCGGAAAACUCAGUCGAACCUUAUCAUUUAGAGGAAGGAGAAGUCGUAACA